RNAcentral lists this ribosomal RNA (274 nucleotides) under uncultured bacterium. RNAcentral describes it as "partial 16S ribosomal RNA". It matches the Rfam family "Bacterial small subunit ribosomal RNA", at positions 523 to 796 of the family's 1533-position model. The record is from RNAcentral.
AUACGGAGGGAGCAAGCGUUGUUCGGAAUCACUGGGCGUAAAGCGAGUGUAGGUUGUCAGGUAAGUAGGAUGUGAAAGCCCGGGGCUCAACCCCGGAAUUGCAUUCUAAACUGCCUGGCUAGAGUCCCGGAGAGGGAGGUGGAAUUCCGAGUGUAGAGGUGAAAUUCGUAGAUAUUCGGAGGAACACCCGAGGCGAAGGCGACCUCCUGGACGGUGACUGACACUGAGACUCGAAAGCGUGGGGAGCAAACAGGAUUAGAAACCCCGGUAGUCC